GAGCUGGCCGGCCGCCAGAGCGCACAAAGACGUGUCUUGCAGUGCGUACGUACCGGUGGACUCGCAAUGCACGACUCGCUCGCUGUCUGGCUGGUCGUGCUUGUGCUAGAAAGUCCCCGUGGAAGCUUUGGAAGUCUACUAGCACGCGCCCGAGCCAUCCUUUG
Molecule: unclassified non-coding RNA, 164 nt
Filed under: Rhodotorula toruloides
Lineage: Eukaryota; Fungi; Basidiomycota; Microbotryomycetes; Sporidiobolales; Sporidiobolaceae
Source: RNAcentral